RNAcentral lists this ribosomal RNA (250 nucleotides) under uncultured prokaryote. RNAcentral's name for it is "partial 16S ribosomal RNA". It matches the Rfam family "Bacterial small subunit ribosomal RNA", at positions 524 to 773 of the family's 1533-position model. The record is from RNAcentral.
UACGUAGGGAGCAAGCGUUAUCCGGAUUUAUUGGGUGUAAAGGGUGCGUAGACGGGAAGGCAAGUUAGUUGUGAAAUCCCUCGGCUCAACUGAGGAACUGCAACUAAAACUACAUUUCUUGAGUGCAGGAGAGGAAAGUGGAAUUCCUAGUGUAGCGGUGAAAUGCGUAGAUAUUAGGAGGAACACCAGUGGCGAAGGCGACUUUCUGGACUGUAACUGACGUUGAGGCACGAAAGCGUGGGUAGCAAAC